Molecule: transfer RNA, 75 nt
Filed under: Cordylochernes scorpioides
Lineage: Eukaryota; Metazoa; Arthropoda; Arachnida; Pseudoscorpiones; Chernetidae
Description: tRNA-Thr
Rfam family: tRNA
About the family: Transfer RNA (tRNA) molecules are approximately 80 nucleotides in length. Their secondary structure includes four short double-helical elements and three loops (D, anti-codon, and T loops).
Source: RNAcentral
GUCCUGGGUAGCCUAGUGGACAUGGCACCUGCCCAGUAAGCAGAAGGUUGUGGGUUCGAUUCCCGACCCUGGACA